RNAcentral lists this ribosomal RNA (301 nucleotides) under uncultured bacterium. Its description in RNAcentral is "partial 16S ribosomal RNA". It matches the Rfam family "Bacterial small subunit ribosomal RNA", at positions 509 to 807 of the family's 1533-position model. The record is from RNAcentral.
CAGUAGCCGCGGGAAUACGUAGGGUGCGAGCGUUAAUCGGAAUUACUGGGCGUAAAGCGUGCGCAGGCGGUUGUGUAAGACAGGUGUGAAAUCCCCGGGCUUAACCUGGGAACUGCAUUGGUGACUGGCGGGCUAGAGUAUGGCAGAGGGGGGUAGAAUUCCACGUGUAGCAGUGAAAUGCGUAGAGAUGUGGAGGAAUACCGAUGGCGAAGGCAGCCCCCUGGGCCAAUACUGACGCUCAUGCACGAAAGCGUGGGGAGCAAACAGGAUUAGAUACCCGGGUAGUCCCUGUCUCUUAUAC